AAAAAAAAAAGAAAAAACAGCAAACCAGGAUCAGACUAACGAGGGGGGUAAUUGAGUGGACAGAUGCUGUUUAAUGGUUCUCCACGCACACAUCUGCUCAGAUCAAACGCUCCUCUGGGCAACACUGCCCUCUCCUGGAUACACGCGCAGCCGCCCUGAGGAGCUGCUCCCGAUUCCUUGUGACUGAAUGAUUCUGUUGUAUCCCGUCGUUGCUCAUCCCGGCUCCCAAUGCCCCUUUCUUCAUUUCCCUGCGAUGGCAGGUGAUGACGGUCGUGUCUCCGAUUCUUCUUUUGGGCCUUGAUGAGCUCCGUGUCCAACCGUCGGCUGGGAGCAGCAGAACGACACAACAAAACAGCACAAACAGAGUAAACCAGCGCAAAGCGAACACGAUGCUGCCACGCCGUCACUGGAACCCGAGCUCACCUUCCAACAAUAAAACACACGAGCAGAGACCCGAGGAGAGGAGGCGGCGUGCACCCGGCCCACAUCAGCCCAACAUCAUUUCAAGGCCCGGACGAGAGGCGUGGAGCAGGUGUGACGGAGGCAAGACGUACUGAAGUCUGCUCCCGACUGACAGAAAACCCCCACCGGCUGCAGAAUGGGAUGGUUUGGGACAAGCCAGCGCCGUCCCUCCGGAGCGGAGCUUCCUCGGGCCGUGAACCGAGUGCCUGCUGCGGCCUCUCUUCCUGCGGGCACGUCGGAGCCCUGUUAGCCUCCCCGGUGCCACUGUUAACAUAACUAAGGAGCCUCCUCGCUGGCGUUUUCCUCAGCCGGGUCGACAACCCGCUGACUUCCCCUGCAACUCAGACUCCGUCUCUCUUCAGAAGCGCUGUUACAAGUAAAAGCUCCACAUUCAAAACGUUACCAAAGUGAAAGUACAAGAGUGUUAACAGUGAAAUAACGUAUACUCGUUGUGCAGAAUCUCAAGUAUGAUAUUUACUGGAGGUCAAUGGUUCUUUAAGAUGUUUAUCACAUAAUUGUUGAAGCCGGUGAAGGUGGAGCCAAUUUGGUACUUUUCAUACUAUUAUACUAUUUAUGUUCAUUACUACUUAUUAUGGUAUCAUUCCGUUUGUAUAGCUUUUAAUUUAUAUUUAUACCUACAGUAGAAACUAAUUGAAUAAAUGUAAUGAACUAGAAGCACGAAGUUGCAUGACAUGUAUAUAUUUAAGUGGAGGGCAAGUACCUCAAAAUUGUGCUUAAGUUCUUUGAUUGAGUAGCAGGAAAAACAUAAGAAAUUGAAUUAAAACUCCACAAUAUCACCAUUUUCCAUAAUAACGAAUAACUGGUAUCAGAUCAGACUGUCAGAAUGUAUGAUUAUAUUUUCAUAGAAUGUGUUUGAUUUUAUAUCCACUGUUUCUGAUGUACAAUGUGUGGUUGAUAUCCUAAACUACAUUGAGGUGAGUCUUUAUUUGCACAUCAUAUAAGCAUAAGAAUAGUUUUCUUCAUAUGGUUAAAUAAUGUGGGUAAAGCACAAUGAGCAAUGAGAUGGCUAAAGGAUUCAUUCGGGUGAGUUCGACAACAGUCCUGCACGACGUUGGCUAAAAAUACACGCAUAAAUCAUUUCACAUUUACAUUUUUCAUUUAGCUGACGCUUUUAUCCACAUCGACUCACAGAGCUUUUAUUUCAGUUUGUAUCAGAAGCUGAACCGACUUUCUGCUGUCCUGAUGAGCUCAUUCCACCAUUCAGGAUCAUGAACAAUCACUAAAGCUUCUCUAAAGCAAAAAGUUCAAACGCAAAGACAAACAGCAAUAAGAAAUGAGAUGGAUAAAACUCCAAUAAGACAAGAAAAACAAUUUAGUUCAAAUUUGAAAUAGUGCAUGCUUCAAUUUCAACUUAAAGCAGAUUUAGAAUUAAAUGGUGGUGACCGUCCUGAUGAUUGAGUGCUGAACUAUUCAAAAAUUAUACAUUAGAAUAUGUGUUUCUUAUUUUUGAACUUUGAUCGCUUAUUUACUCAUGAAUAUGUACAGAUUGACUAACACGUAUUAGAAAAACAAACUUUUCAGGAACUUCCCGAGUAUACUUUUUUCUUUUCCUUGGGAAUAAACAUGAAAAAGCCCAGAGGGAACAGCGUCGAGGAUACUUUUUAUAGGCACUGUACGUUACUUCUGUUCUUCCUAAAUGCUCAUUGUAAUUUCUCUGAUGUAUUCCCACUGCAUCUCAUUGCUGUGAUCAAUGACAACUUUAAAUAUAAUUUUAGAAUGAGACUCUAAAACACAACCUACCUACGGUAGAAUUAACUUUUCAAAGCUCUGAACACGCAACCAGCAAACACUUACACACAUACGUGUAAUCUAGGCCAAACUCCUCCUCAUUAUAACAACGGCUGAGCAUU
Long non-coding RNA from Gasterosteus aculeatus aculeatus (three-spined stickleback), 2333 nucleotides. The record is from Ensembl. NCBI's taxonomy places the organism in Eukaryota, Metazoa, Chordata, Actinopteri, Perciformes, Gasterosteidae.